CCUACGGGAGGCAGCAGUAGGGAAUGUUGCGCAAUGGGCGAAAGCCUGACGCAGCAACGCCGCGUGAACGAGACGCCCUUCGGGGUGUAAAGUUCUGUCAGUGGGGACGAAAGAUGACGGUACCCACAGAGGAAGCACCGGCUAACGCCGUGCCAGCAGCCGCGGUAAUACGGAGGGUGCAAGCGUUGUCCGGAAUCAUUGGGCGUCAAGAGGUCGUAGGCGGUAUGUUAAGUCUGGUGUUAACUGCAGAAGCUCAACUUCUGUUCGGCACUGGAUACUGGCAAACUAGAAUGCGGUAGAGGUCACGGGACUUCCUGGUGUAGCGGUGCAAUGCUUCGAUAUCAGGCGGAACAUCGGUGGCGUACGCGCUUUACUGGACCGUAAUUGCCGCUGAGGCACUCCAGCCUGGGUAGCAAAUCGGAUUAGAUACCCCAGUAGUC
RNAcentral lists this ribosomal RNA (440 nucleotides) under uncultured bacterium. RNAcentral describes it as "partial 16S ribosomal RNA". It matches the Rfam family "Bacterial small subunit ribosomal RNA", at positions 338 to 795 of the family's 1533-position model. The record is from RNAcentral.